GACGAACGCUGGCGGCGUGCUUAACACAUGCAAGUCGAACGGAAAGGCCCUGCUUUUGUGGGGUGCUCGAGUGGCGAACGGGUGAGUAACACGUGAGUAACCUGCCCUUGACUUUGGGAUAACUUCAGGAAACUGGGGCUAAUACCGGAUAGGAGCUCCUGCUGCAUGGUGUGGGUUGGAAAGUUUCGGCGGUUGGGGAUGGACUCGCGGCUUAUCAGCUUGUUGGUGGGGUAGUGGCUUACCAAGGCUUUGACGGGUAGCCGGCCUGAGAGGGUGACCGGCCACAUUGGGACUGAGAUACGGCCCAGACUCCUACGGGAGGCAGCAGUGGGGAAUAUUGCGCAAUGGGCGGAAGCCUGAUGCAGCAACGCCGCGUGCGGGAUGACGGCCUUCGGGUUGUAAACCGCUUUCGCCUGUGACGAAGCGUGAGUGACGGUAAUGGGUAAAGAAGCACCGGCUAACUACGUG
This 468-nucleotide ribosomal RNA is filed under the name uncultured bacterium. Its description in RNAcentral is "partial 16S ribosomal RNA". It matches the Rfam family "Bacterial small subunit ribosomal RNA", at positions 28 to 507 of the family's 1533-position model. The record is from RNAcentral.